Camellia sinensis is the source of this 832-nucleotide non-coding RNA. The record is from RefSeq and is a predicted model, not a curated record. NCBI's taxonomy places the organism in Eukaryota, Viridiplantae, Streptophyta, Magnoliopsida, Ericales, Theaceae.
AACACUUUUGGCUUCUAUUCAUAAAGGAUGAACAUAGAAAACUCAAAUGAGGGUUUCAAUCUCUCUCUAGAUACCCCUUCUUCUUCUAGAUCUUCCUCUUCGAAGAAAAAGAACGACUAGUUCUUCGUCGAGUACUAGAGCUUGUUAGACGAUGAUGGCUUUUCCCCCUUGAGAGAAAUCGUCAAACCCGACUUCAUUAGGCCUUUGCCUCCUCCUCCUUCAGAGUGUUUCAGAGUGUGACCUUGUUCCCUUAUUCGAAUUAUACGAUGUCAUCGAUGCAUCUUACCGUGAUGGAUGGUGGAGUGGUGUCAUCAUCAUAGUUCUCAACAAUUCCAAGUUUGUAGUCACCUUCUAGAACCCUCCUGAUGAGAUCGAGUUGGGGGUUUCAGAGUUGCAGGUUCAUCGAGAGUGGGUCGACGGCAAAUGGGUCCAACUUGAAAAGCAGGAUUUUUUGGAACAUGCCCUUGAUUAUCUGUCUCUGUUGUAAACAUGGAUCGAUUGGACAAAGACGAGCAAAUUGAAUUGUUGUUUUCCUGUGAAUUUUGAUGGGUCUAUGAGAAGAAACUUCAACAAAUCAAAGAACUCAAAGGAUUAUAAGCUUUCUAAGAGCUUGUCUGAGAAGCUCGUCAAGAGCACUUUCUCUGGUGAGAACCAUACAUACCCAUUUUGAUUCUUGGUCCCUAGUAUGCAAUACUCAUUGAGUUUUUCAUCUGGGUAACUGAUAAAUUUUGAUAUAGGGACUUGUGAGGAUAUGAUUGACAUGGGUUUUGAGUUGUCUGAGGUUUUGUCUAAAUUGGUUUUCCAAUUUUAUGUUGAAUUCUUCAUUUACCAA